CAGACCAAGGCAAACUACCAACCAGACAAGGACGACAACAGCAUUACGAAAUGGGCACUUCUAUGUGUAAAACUGUGUUGUAGAGCAAUUUUAACCUCCUUGUGUUUACACUGAAGAAUAGAUGAGCAAGUGCUGUUCAUCAUGGGCCUGUCUCAAUGUUUUUUUCUAAAGAUUAUUUUCUGGAGAAAAAUUAU
Molecule: long non-coding RNA, 194 nt
Organism: Solea senegalensis (Senegalese sole)
Lineage: Eukaryota; Metazoa; Chordata; Actinopteri; Pleuronectiformes; Soleidae
Exons: 3
Source: RefSeq, a predicted model, not a curated record